Molecule: small nucleolar RNA, 83 nt
Organism: Dama dama (fallow deer)
Lineage: Eukaryota; Metazoa; Chordata; Mammalia; Artiodactyla; Cervidae
Product: small nucleolar RNA SNORD20
Exons: 1
Source: RefSeq, a predicted model, not a curated record
UGGAUAUGAUGAUGACUGAUUAUCUGAGAAGUAACUGAUGAAAUCUCAAGAAAAUUCCUCUAGAUAGUCAAGUUCUGAUCCAG